RNAcentral lists this long non-coding RNA (843 nucleotides) under Homo sapiens (human). RNAcentral's name for it is "non-protein coding lnc-PHF3-6:1". The record is from RNAcentral. Lineage: Eukaryota; Metazoa; Chordata; Mammalia; Primates; Hominidae.
UCAACUGGCUAUGAGAGGGUAUAUUCAGUUUUUAGGAAGAAAGUGAAAUUAGAUAUGAAUGAAAAGUUAAAUAAGUGUGAAAGGUCUUAGGAAAAUUAUAGAAGUUUAUGCAAUUAGAAUCAAAACUAAAGUAAAACAAAAAAUAUAUAUCUAGGUCGAUACGUGAGAAACAAGACCCAAACGAGUGAAAGUCCUUACUGCCGGAACAAGAUGUAUCGAGUGAUAUAGGAUUCUAGACAUUUGAGCCAUUUUUAUCCCAUAUUCAGUUACAGUCUCUACUUUAGGGGAUGCUAAACUAAAAUUAAGAUGACUAAAGAUUUUGGAUUAACUCUUAAAGAGCAUAUAGUCUCUUUUUAUCUUAGACCUGUAUAGCUCCUGUUCAUAGUGGCAAACUUUUGGCUUCCUGUUCUGUUGAUGGGACUAUUCAGUUAUGGAUAUUCUAGGGUUUUGAGAGCAUUAGAACCAUGUACAGCCAUGACCAUGAUGUUUCAUCAUUAGCCAUUGAGCACAAUGGAUACAAUAUAGUGUCUACCUCAUGGGAUUAAAACCAUUAAAAUGUAGGCAAUGUAGACUGGCUCUUUUUGUGGCCAAAUUAAUAUGGUGUCCUGACUUCCAUCUGUGCUAGUGAACAGACAGUGUGGAAGGGUUGAUAGGAACAACAAAUCCAGUGCUAUGCUCAGAGAAUAUGAAAAUGUGAUAAAAUGCAUUUCUUGGGGCUACAUAUGGCCCACAUUUUUAUAUCUCUUGAGCAAAAGGAGGUGAGACUAGAAAAAGUGGCAAAUCUGUAUCUCUCUUGCUGUCAGAGAUGAGACUGUGAAAAUAAGGGAUGUAAGCACCAGUUUG